CUCGCGUUUAGCGCAAUGUGGGCUUAUUGUUCGCGGGUGGAGAAGUUUGCAUGUGGAGACGUAGUGACGGAAAGGCACGCAGCUGUGCGCUUCCUUGCACACGUUUGUGGCUGGAGCUUUAUAAACGGCCUCAUUGUUAGCAAGUGUUCCCCGAGAGGCCGAGCAGCGAUAACGGCCGGGUUAGCUGUUUACGGGAGCCCAUCCUCCAAGAUUACAUCGGAAUCUGGCGCUUCUGUGUUUGAAAAAGAGCAGCAGGAAGCGAUUGAACACAUUGAUGAAGUACAGAAUGAAAUUGACAGACUGAACGAACAGGCUAGUGAAGAAAUUUUAAAAGUAGAGCAGAAGUACAACAAAUUACGCCAGCCAUUCUUUCAGAAGCGAUCAGAAAUCAUAGCCAAAAUCCCCAACUUCUGGGUCACAACAUUCGUCAACCAUCCACAAGUUUCAGCUCUUCUGGGGGAGGAGGACGAGGAAGCACUACAUUACUUGUCGAGGGUGGAGGUCACUGAGUUUGAGGACAUCAAGUCUGGAUAUAGAAUAGAUUUUUAUUUUGAUGAGAAUCCGUACUUUGAGAACAAAGCCCUCUCCAAAGAGUUUAACGUAAACGAGAGCGGUGACCCGGUUUCCAAAUCAUCGGAAAUCAAGUGGAAAGCUGGAAAGGACCUGACAAAACGUACUGGUCAGACGCCAAACAAAGCUGGGAAGAAAAGGCAGCAUGAAGAGCCAGAGAGCUUCUUCACCUGGUUUACCGACCACUCGGAUGCAGGAGCUGAUGAGCUGGGAGAAGUGAUCAAGGAUGACAUUUGGCCAAACCCGCUGCAGUACUACCUGGUCCCUGACAUGGAGGACGAGGAAGAUGAUGGUGACGACGAUGAUGAAGAAGAGGAGGGUCUGGAAGAUAUUGAUGAAGGGGAAGAAGAGGAGGGUGAAGAUGAAGAUGAGGAUGGUGAUGGGGAAGAUGGAGAGGAUGAUGGUGAAGAUGAUUAAAGGUUAAGUCAACACCUUUUCCCCAUCCUCCCUCUGUGAUCACUCAACUCAUGGGAGCAAUUUUUUUUGGUUUGUGUUCCUGUGCGUUGUCACCCUGUCCGUCCUCUUCCUCUGCAGCCACAGCCUGUAGAUGAGGUCUGGAGACCAGCUCCACACACAGCAGGUCUGCAGAGGGGUGGGGGUGCAGGUGUCAGUGGCUCUCUGGAAUUUUCACCUGUCAUUGUUUCUCUACAUCUCCCAAAGACAUGCAAAAGAAUAAAAAAAAUUUGUAGCAUUCUGCACGUCAUCCUAUGUAGAUUUAAACUCCGUACAAUAACAAUUUGUAUGUACAAUAAAAUGACAGUUUCUGUUGAAGUUGUGAGUUCAAUAAAAAUAAGCCAUGGUGCAGUGAUAACUUAAUCAUAGCAUCCUUAGCCACUUUUAUAUAUAUAAUAUAUAUAAAUGUUUAUUAUUAUAUAUCCAGUGGUGGGGGUUCUGAGGCUUAUUAGAAGCUGCAUUUUCCUUUGUGACUUAUUGAAUUAAUUGAUUGAAAGCACCAGCUUGUUCCUUUGAACUGUUGUAAAUGUUUUGGGAUAUCCAUGUAUCUCAGUAGGCCAGUUAAUUGUACACAGUUUAAUGGGGGCAGUAUGGUGGGGGGGGGGACUUUGACACCAACUCUGGACUUCUGUUAAAAAAAUGUCUUGUUUUUCAGGCACCCACAACAAAAUUUCAAGUGUGUGUAUGAAUAUGAGACACAUACAUGCACACUAAAACUUUAAAUUUGAGUAUUUGAGACGGGAGUCCUUUGGAGACUGCUGCGUUUCUCCUGUUCUACUGGAAACCUGUUCCCAUUAAAUUAAGUGUACUAGUUACUUUGUUACAAUAAAUAAAUGUAUAUGUGA
Molecule: RNA transcript, 1868 nt
Organism: Archocentrus centrarchus (flier cichlid)
Lineage: Eukaryota; Metazoa; Chordata; Actinopteri; Cichliformes; Cichlidae
Gene name: protein SET-like
Exons: 9
Source: RefSeq, a predicted model, not a curated record